AUUGAACGCUGGCGGCAGGCCUAACACAUGCAAGUCGAGCGGAGCGGCGGACGGGGGAGUAAUGUAUGGGGAUCUGCCCGAUAGAGGGGGAUAACUACUGGAAACGGUAGCUAAUACCGCAUACUAUCGGAUGAACCCAUAUGGGAUUAGCUAGUAGGUGGGGUAAAGGCUCACCUAGGCGACGAUCUCUAGCUGGUCUGAGAGGAUGAUCAGCCAUACUGGUACGGAGACACGGCCCAGACUCCGCCGGGAGGCCGCAGGGGUGAAUAUUGCACAAUGGGCGCAAUCCUUAUGCAGCCCUGCCGCGUGUGUGAAGAAGGUCUUCGGAUUGUAAAGCACUUUAAGUUGGGAGGCGUUACCAACAGAAUAAGCACGGGCUAACGUCGUGCCAGCAGCCGCGGUAAUUC
Molecule: ribosomal RNA, 407 nt
Filed under: uncultured bacterium
Lineage: Bacteria
Description: partial 16S ribosomal RNA
Rfam family: Bacterial small subunit ribosomal RNA
Source: RNAcentral